This 460-nucleotide ribosomal RNA is filed under the name uncultured bacterium. Its description in RNAcentral is "partial 16S ribosomal RNA". It matches the Rfam family "Bacterial small subunit ribosomal RNA", at positions 338 to 795 of the family's 1533-position model. The record is from RNAcentral.
CCUACGGGUGGCUGCAGUGAGGAAUAUUGGUCAAUGGACGAGAGUCUGAACCAGCCAAGUAGCGUGAAGGAUGACUGCCCUAUGGGUUGUAAACUUCUUUUAUAUGGGAAUAAAAUGUUCCACGUGUGGGAUUUUGUCUGUACCAUAUGAAUAAGGAUCGGCUAACUCCGUGCCAGCAGCCGCGGUAAUACGGAGGGUCCGAGCGUUAUCCGGAUUUAUUGGGUUUAAAGGGAGCGUAGGUGGAUUGUUAAGUCAGUUGUGAAAGUUUGCGGCUCAACCGUAAAAUUGCAGUUGAAACUGGCAGUCUUGAGUACAGUAGAGGUGGGCGGAAUUCGUGGUGUAGCGGUGAAAUGCUUAGAUAUCACGAAGAACUCCGAUUGCGAAGGCAGUUCACUGGACUGCAACUGACACUGAGGCUCGAAGGUGUGGGUAUCAAACAGGAUUAGAUACCCUAGUAGUC